GUAGAUAUAGUUUAAAAAAACAUUAGACUGUGAACCUAAAGAUAGAAGAACAAUCUUCUUAUCUACC
Molecule: transfer RNA, 67 nt
Filed under: Rhizomys pruinosus (hoary bamboo rat)
Lineage: Eukaryota; Metazoa; Chordata; Mammalia; Rodentia; Spalacidae
Description: tRNA-His
Rfam family: tRNA
About the family: Transfer RNA (tRNA) molecules are approximately 80 nucleotides in length. Their secondary structure includes four short double-helical elements and three loops (D, anti-codon, and T loops).
Source: RNAcentral